UACGGGGGGGGCAAGCGUUGUUCGGAAUUACUGGGCGUAAAGGGCUCGUAGGCGGCCAACUAAGUCGGAUGUGAAAUCCCCAGGCUUAACUUGGGAACUGCAUCCGAUACUGGAUGGCUUGAAUCCGGGAGAGGGAUGCGGAAUUCCAGGUGUAGCGGUGAAAUGCGUAGAUAUUGGGAAGAACACCGGUGGCGAAGGCGGCCAACUGGACCAUUUCUGACGCUGAGGCGCGAAAGCGUGGGGAGCAAACAGG
Molecule: ribosomal RNA, 253 nt
Filed under: uncultured bacterium
Lineage: Bacteria
Description: partial 16S ribosomal RNA
Rfam family: Bacterial small subunit ribosomal RNA
Source: RNAcentral